GACGAACGCUGGCGGCGUGCUUAACACAUGCAAGUCGAACGGAAAGGCCCUGCUUUUGUGGGGUGCUCGAGUGGCGAACGGGUGAGUAACACGUGAGUAACCUGCCCUUGACUUUGGGAUAACUUCAGGAAACUGGGGCUAAUACCGGAUAGGAGCUCCUGCUGCAUGGUGGGGGUUGGAAAGUUUCGGCGGUUGGGGAUGGACUCGCGGCUUAUCAGCUUGUUGGUGGGGUAGUGGCUUACCAAGGCUUUGACGGGUAGCCGGCCUGAGAGGGUGACCGGCAACAUGGGGACGGGGAUACGGCCCAGACUCCUACGGGAGGCAGCAGUGGGGAAUAUUGCACAAUGGGCGGAAGCCGGAUGCAGCAACGCCGCGUGCGGGAUGACGGCCUUCGGGUGGUAAACCGCUUUCGCCUGUGACGAAGCGUGAGUGACGGUAAUGGGUAAAGAAGCACCGGCUAACUACGU
Molecule: ribosomal RNA, 467 nt
Filed under: uncultured bacterium
Lineage: Bacteria
Description: partial 16S ribosomal RNA
Rfam family: Bacterial small subunit ribosomal RNA
Source: RNAcentral